UAAGCUCGUCGCUACAGGCAGA
RNAcentral lists this microRNA (22 nucleotides) under Heligmosomoides polygyrus. RNAcentral describes it as "hpo-miR-993-3p". Its record names the gene hpo-miR-993-3p. Lineage: Eukaryota; Metazoa; Nematoda; Chromadorea; Rhabditida; Heligmosomidae. The record is from miRBase by way of RNAcentral.